This 251-nucleotide ribosomal RNA is filed under the name uncultured prokaryote. RNAcentral's name for it is "partial 16S rRNA". It matches the Rfam family "Bacterial small subunit ribosomal RNA", at positions 525 to 775 of the family's 1533-position model. The record is from RNAcentral.
ACGGAGGGUGCAAGCGUUAUUCGGAUUUACUGGGCGUAAAGCGCGUGUAGGCGGUUCUGCAAGUCUGAUGUGAAAGCCCCUGGCUUAACCGGGGGAGUGCAUUGGAAACUGUGGGACUUGAGGACUGGAGAGGGUGGGGGUAUUCCCGGUGUAGGGGUGAAAUGCGUAGAGAUCGGGAGGAAUAUCAGUGGCGAAGGCGCCCAACUGGAACGUACCUGACGCUGAGUCGCGAAAGCGUGGGGAGCAAACAG